This 769-nucleotide ribosomal RNA is filed under the name uncultured Actinomyces sp. RNAcentral describes it as "bacterial SSU rRNA". It matches the Rfam family "Bacterial small subunit ribosomal RNA", at positions 69 to 849 of the family's 1533-position model. The record is from RNAcentral. Lineage: Bacteria; Bacillati; Actinomycetota; Actinomycetes; Actinomycetales; Actinomycetaceae.
AUGAUGGGAGCUUGCUCCUGGAUUAGUGGCGAACGGGUGAGUAACACGUGAGUAACCUGCCCUUAACUCUGGGAUAAGCCUGGGAAACUGGGUCUAAUACCGGAUAUGACUCCUCAUCGCAUGGUGGGGGGUGGAAAGCUUUAUUGUGGUUUUGGAUGGACUCGCGGCCUAUCAGCUUGUUGGUGAGGUAAUGGCUUACCAAGGCGACGACGGGUAGCCGGCCUGAGAGGGUGACCGGCCACACUGGGACUGAGACACGGCCCAGACUCCUACGGGAGGCAGCAGUGGGGAAUAUUGCACAAUGGGCGCAACCCUGAUGCAGCGACGCCGCGUGAGGGAUGACGGCCUUCGGGUUGUAACCCUCUUUCAGUAGGGAAGAAGCGAAAGUGACGGUACCUGCAGAAGAAGCGCCGGCUAACUACGUGCCAGCAGCCGCGGUAAUACGUAGGGCGCAAGCGUUAUCCGGAAUUAUUGGGCGUAAAGAGCUCGUAGGCGGUUUGUCGCGUCUGCCGUGAAAGUCCGGGGCUCAACUCCGGAUCUGCGGUGGGUACGGGCAGACUAGAGUGAUGUAGGGGAGACUGGAAUUCCUGGUGUAGCGGUGAAAUGCGCAGAUAUCAGGAGGAACACCGAUGGCGAAGGCAGGUCUCUGGGCAUUAACUGACGCUGAGGAGCGAAAGCAUGGGGAGCGAACAGGAUUAGAUACCCUGGUAGUCCAUGCCGUAAACGUUGGGCACUAGGUGUGGGGGACAUUCCACGUUUUCCGCGCCGU